Molecule: transfer RNA, 71 nt
Filed under: Capra hircus (goat)
Lineage: Eukaryota; Metazoa; Chordata; Mammalia; Artiodactyla; Bovidae
Also listed under: 1 other name
Rfam family: tRNA
About the family: Transfer RNA (tRNA) molecules are approximately 80 nucleotides in length. Their secondary structure includes four short double-helical elements and three loops (D, anti-codon, and T loops).
Source: Rfam by way of RNAcentral
UCCUAGGUGGCUUAGUGGUAAAGAAUCUGCCUGCGAUGCAGGAGACGCAGGUUCCAUCCUUGUGUCAGGAA